This 77-nucleotide transfer RNA is filed under the name Proteus mirabilis. RNAcentral describes it as "tRNA-Met". It matches the Rfam family "tRNA". Rfam says of the family: Transfer RNA (tRNA) molecules are approximately 80 nucleotides in length. Their secondary structure includes four short double-helical elements and three loops (D, anti-codon, and T loops). The record is from RNAcentral. RNAcentral also lists the same sequence under 109 other names. Lineage: Bacteria; Pseudomonadati; Pseudomonadota; Gammaproteobacteria; Enterobacterales; Morganellaceae.
CGCGGGGUGGAGCAGUCUGGUAGCUCGUCGGGCUCAUAACCCGAAGGUCGUUGGUUCAAAUCCGGCCCCCGCAACCA